CACACUGUAAACGAUGAAUACUCGCUGUUUGCGAUAUACGGCAAGCGGCCAAGCGAAAGCGUUAAGUAUUCCACCUGGGGAGUACGCCGGCAACGGUGAAACUCAAAGGAAUUGACGGGG
Molecule: ribosomal RNA, 120 nt
Filed under: uncultured bacterium
Lineage: Bacteria
Description: partial 16S ribosomal RNA
Rfam family: Bacterial small subunit ribosomal RNA
Source: RNAcentral